AACCAGUGAUGCACUGAUUUUGCCAAAUGAAGUAGGAGGAUAUCACUUAUUAAAUUGUCCCAUUCUCCUCUUAGGCU
Molecule: small nucleolar RNA, 77 nt
Organism: Erinaceus europaeus (western European hedgehog)
Lineage: Eukaryota; Metazoa; Chordata; Mammalia; Eulipotyphla; Erinaceidae
Source: Ensembl